ACUACAUGAAGCUGGAAUCGCUAGUAAUCGCGGAUCAGCAUGCCGCGGUGAAUACGUUCCCGGGCCUUGUACACACCGCCCGUCACACCAUGGGAGUUUGUAACACCCGAAGUCAGUAUCCUAACCGCAAGGGGGGAGCUGCCGAAGGUGGGAUAAGCGACUGGGGUGAAGUCGUAACAAGGUAUC
RNAcentral lists this ribosomal RNA (186 nucleotides) under uncultured bacterium. RNAcentral's name for it is "partial 16S ribosomal RNA". It matches the Rfam family "Bacterial small subunit ribosomal RNA", at positions 1315 to 1500 of the family's 1533-position model. The record is from RNAcentral.